This 100-nucleotide ribosomal RNA is filed under the name Pectobacterium carotovorum. Lineage: Bacteria; Pseudomonadati; Pseudomonadota; Gammaproteobacteria; Enterobacterales; Pectobacteriaceae. The record is from RNAcentral.
UGGCGGCGAUAGCGCGGUGGUCCCACCUGACCCCAUGCCGAACUCAGAAGUGAAACGCCGUAGCGCCGAUGGUAGUGUGGGGCUUCCCCAUGUGAGAGUA